Molecule: ribosomal RNA, 119 nt
Organism: Naegleria gruberi
Lineage: Eukaryota; Heterolobosea; Eutetramitea; Acrasida; Naegleriidae
Source: Rfam
GGCUACGACCAUAUCACGAUGAACGCACCUCAUCCCGUCCGAUUUGAGAAGUUAAGCAUCGUCGAGCCACAUCAGUACUGAGGUUGGAGACAACUUGGGAACAUGUGGUGCUGUAGUCU